GGAACCGCAUCUCCCUAUAUCAUUGGUGUUGGUGGUUAAAAAUUUCUCAGGUGAACCUUGGGCCUGGCUGGGCGGACCGCCUCCCCGCGUGUACUGGUCCGGCCGGGCCUUUCCCUCUGGGGAACCUCAUGCCCUUCACUGGGUGUGCUGGGGAAACAGGACUUUUACUUUGAAAAAAUUAGAGUGCUCCAGGCAGGCCUAUGCUCGAAUACAUUAGCAUGGAAUAAUAAAAUAGGACGUGCGGUUCUAUUUUGUUGGUUUCUAGGACCGCCGUAAUGAUUAAUAGGGACAGUCGGGGGCAUCAGUAUUCAAUUGUCAGAGGUGAAAUUCUUGGAUUUAUUGAAGACUAACUACUGCGAAAGCAUUUGCCAAGGAUGUUUUCAUUAAUCAGGAACGAAAGUUAGGGGAUCGAAAACGAUCAGAUACCGUUGUAGUCUUAACCAUAAACUAUGCCGAUAAGGGAUCGGAG
Molecule: ribosomal RNA, 469 nt
Filed under: Memnoniella chromolaenae
Lineage: Eukaryota; Fungi; Ascomycota; Sordariomycetes; Hypocreales; Stachybotryaceae
Description: SSU rRNA
Rfam family: Eukaryotic small subunit ribosomal RNA
Source: RNAcentral